Heterocephalus glaber (naked mole-rat) is the source of this 90-nucleotide small nuclear RNA. Its record names the gene U2. It matches the Rfam family "U2 spliceosomal RNA". Rfam says of the family: U2 is a small nuclear RNA (snRNA) component of the spliceosome (involved in pre-mRNA splicing). The record is from Ensembl. NCBI's taxonomy places the organism in Eukaryota, Metazoa, Chordata, Mammalia, Rodentia, Bathyergidae.
AUCGCUUCUCGGCCUUUUGGCUAAGAUCAAGUGUAGUAUUUGGGAGUGUGUGGGUGAAAAGAUUGAUCAGAAAGGGAUACAGGAACUUUC